This is a long non-coding RNA of Dioscorea cayenensis subsp. rotundata (Guinea yam), 386 nucleotides long. RefSeq lists it as uncharacterized. Lineage: Eukaryota; Viridiplantae; Streptophyta; Magnoliopsida; Dioscoreales; Dioscoreaceae. The record is from RefSeq and is a predicted model, not a curated record. The transcript is spliced from 3 exons.
ACUCCUCAUCCUUGACCUCCAAACAAAGAAAUAAGUGGAGAUUUCUUCUCCUUUCAUGAAGAAGAGCUUGCUUAGUGUGUAGAGAAGAUUCGGUGGUUGUUUAAUUGCUUCUAGGAGGUGAAACUUCAAGCAAGGGAAAAGAGCCAGUGGAGUAGUGACACCAGAGUUUAUAGCUCGCCAAGUUUGUGAUAGCACAACAUUGGGGUGAAAAGCGUGAAGUGCUUGGUAGAGUUUAUUUUGUUGCUCUCUUUGAGUUGUGUAUGAUACUUAAACAUUAUUGGAAUGUAUUAGAUGGAUCCACUAGGAUGUUAUACUUUCAUGUUAUGUAUUACUUUCCUUCAAUAUUCCUAAAAGUGUCAUUCAGGACUAUGUGAUGUAUGAUGAAU